RNAcentral lists this ribosomal RNA (1463 nucleotides) under uncultured Bordetella sp. RNAcentral's name for it is "partial 16S-23S ribosomal RNA intergenic spacer". It matches the Rfam family "Bacterial small subunit ribosomal RNA". The record is from RNAcentral. Lineage: Bacteria; Pseudomonadati; Pseudomonadota; Betaproteobacteria; Burkholderiales; Alcaligenaceae.
GGUUCGAUUCUGGCUCCAGAUUGAACGCUGGCGGGAUGCUUUACACAUGCAAGUCGAACGGCAGCGGACUUCGGUCUGGUGGCGAGUGGCGAACGGGUGAGUAAUGUAUCGGAACGUGCCCUGGCGGGGAUAACUACGCGAAAGCGUAGCUAAUACCAUACGCCCUUCGAGGAAAGCGGGGACCUUCGGGCCUCGCACUAUUAGAGCGGCCGAUAUCGGAUUGGCUAGUUGGUGAGGUAACGGCUCACCAAGGCGACGAUCAUCGCUGGUUUGGGGGGACGACCAGCCACGCUAGGGACUGAGACACGGCCCAGACUCCUACGGGAGGCAGCAGUGGGGGAAUUUUGGACAAUGGGGAAACCCUGAUCCAGCCAUCCCGCGUGUGCGAUGAAGGCCUUCGGGUUGUAAAAGCACUUUUGGCAGGAAAGAAACGGCACGGGAUAUUGCCCCGUGCAACUGACCAGUACCUGCAGAAUAAGCACCGGCUAACUACGUGCCAGCAGCCGCGGUAAUACGUAGGAGUGCAAGCGUUAAUCGGAAUUACUGGGCGUAAAGCGUGCCAGGCGGUUCGGAAAGAAGAUGUGAAAUCCCAGAGGCUUAACUUUGGAACUGCAUUUUUAACUACCGAGCUAGAGUGUGUCAGAGGGAGGUGGAGAUUCCCGUGUAGCAGUGAAAUGUGAAUAUGCGGAGGAACACCGAUGGCGAAGGCAGCCUCCUGGGAUAACACUGACGCUCAUGCACGAAAGCGUGGGGGAGCAAACAGGAUUAGAUACCCUGGUAGUCCACGCCCUAAACGUGUCAGCUAGCUGUUGGGGCCUUCGGGCCUUGGUAGCGCAGCUAACGCGUGAAGUUGACCGCCUGGGGGAAGUACAGUCCUCAAGAUUAAAACUCAAAGGAAUUGACGGGGACCUGCACAAGCGGUGGAUGAUGUGGAUUAAUUCGAUGCAACGCGAAAAACCUUACCUACCCUUGACAUGUCUGGGUCGAAGAGAUUUGGGAGUGCUCGCAAGAGAACCGGAACACAGGUGCUGCAUGGCUGUCGUCAGCUCGUGUCGUGAGAUAUUGGGUUAAGUCCCGCAACGAGCGCAACCCUUGUCAUUAGUUGCUACGAAGGGCACUCUAAUGAGACUGCCGGUGACAAACCGGAGGAAGGUGGGGAUGACGUCAAGUCCUCAUGGCCUUAUGGGUAGGGCUUCACACGUCAUACAAUGGUCGAAACCAACCCGCGAGGGAGCCAUCCCAGAAACCCGAUCGUAGUCCGGAUCGCAGUCUGCAACUCGACUGCGUGAAGUCGGAAUCGCUAGUAAUCGCGGAUCAGCAUGUCGCGGUGAAUACGUUCCCGGGUCUUGUACACACCGCCCGUCACACCAUGGGAGUGGGUUUUACCAGAAGUAGUUAGCCUAACCGUAAGAGGCGAUUACCACGGUAGGAUUCAUGACUGGGGUGAAGUCGUAACAAGGUAA